CUCUGAGCUAAGCAGGA
This 17-nucleotide transfer RNA is filed under the name Angelica archangelica. RNAcentral describes it as "partial tRNA-Thr". The record is from RNAcentral. Lineage: Eukaryota; Viridiplantae; Streptophyta; Magnoliopsida; Apiales; Apiaceae.